This 277-nucleotide long non-coding RNA is filed under the name Ananas comosus (pineapple). Its description in RNAcentral is "long non-coding RNA (ACOM_LNC039490)". The record is from RNAcentral. Lineage: Eukaryota; Viridiplantae; Streptophyta; Magnoliopsida; Poales; Bromeliaceae.
UCACGCCCCGUGCCCCGCCUAUUUGGUCGGGUUCGGGCACGUUAACAGACCGCCGAACGGAUAGAGUCUCCUCUGUACGUCCAAGGCGUCGCAAUCAAUACAAUACGAGAGGUUCCAACCAGGAACAGUAUUUACUCAUAGAUUGCACAAGGAAGUAUCAUAAACAUAAAACUACUAAGUUAUUACAACAUUCAACUUAGAUACAUUUUACAACACAUUUACAUUCAACUUCCAAAUACAAUCACAAUUAUUACAAUUUAUUACAAGUUUGUACUUU